GCUGGCGUAGCUCAGUUGGUAGAGCAGCUGAUUCGUAAUCAGCAGGUCACGAGUUCAAGUCUCGUCGCCAGCUCGA
RNAcentral lists this transfer RNA (76 nucleotides) under Ignavibacteria bacterium. RNAcentral describes it as "tRNA-Thr". It matches the Rfam family "tRNA". From Rfam's summary of the family: Transfer RNA (tRNA) molecules are approximately 80 nucleotides in length. The record is from RNAcentral. Lineage: Bacteria; Pseudomonadati; Ignavibacteriota; Ignavibacteria.